AUGAAGAACGUAGCGAAAUGCGAUAAGUAAUGCGAAUUGCAGAAUUUCCGUGAGUCAUCGAAUCUUUGAACGCACAUUGCGCCCACUGGUAUUCCGGUGGGCAUGCCUGUUCGAGCGUCAUUAUCCUCCCUCAAACCCCGGGUUUGGUGUUGGACCCAAGUUGUGUGAACAACUGGUCUUAAAGACAAUGACUGCGUCCGUGGGACCCUCGGUGCAACGAGCUUUUAGGAGCACGCAUCGAGUUGCAAGGACCUUCCGGGCCGGUCUCCUUUACUAUUUUACAAGGUUGACCUCGGAUCAGGUAGGAAUACCCGCUGAACUUAAGCAUAUCAAUAAGCGGAGGA
This 344-nucleotide unclassified non-coding RNA is filed under the name soil metagenome. Its description in RNAcentral is "partial contains 5.8S ribosomal RNA, internal transcribed spacer 2, and large subunit ribosomal RNA". The stretch from base 1 to 120 matches the Rfam family "5.8S ribosomal RNA", at positions 36 to 154 of the family's 154-position model. The record is from RNAcentral.